GAUGAACGCUGGCGGCGUGCCUAAUACAUGCAAGUCGAGCGAACAGAUGAGGAGCUUGCUCCUCUGACGUUAGCGGCGGACGGGUGAGUAACACGUGGAUAACCUACCUAUAAGACUGGGAUAACUUCGGGAAACCGGAGCUAAUACCGGAUAAUAUAUUGAACCGCAUGGUUCAAUAGUGAAAGACGGUUUUGCUGUCACUUAUAGAUGGAUCCGCGCCGCAUUAGCUAGUUGGUAAGGUAACGGCUUACCAAGGCAACGAUGCGUAGCCGACCUGAGAGGGUGAUCGGCCACACUGGAACUGAGACACGGUCCAGACUCCUACGGGAGGCAGCAGUAGGGAAUCAUCCGCAAUGGGCGAAAGCCUGACGGAGCAACGCCGCGUGAGUGAUGAAGGUCUUCGGAUCGUAAAACUCUGUUAUUAGGGAAGAACAAAUGUGUAAGUAACGAUGCACGUCUUGACGGUACCUAAUCAGAAAGCCACGGCUAACUACGU
This 496-nucleotide ribosomal RNA is filed under the name uncultured bacterium. Its description in RNAcentral is "partial 16S ribosomal RNA". It matches the Rfam family "Bacterial small subunit ribosomal RNA", at positions 28 to 506 of the family's 1533-position model. The record is from RNAcentral.